Molecule: transfer RNA, 72 nt
Filed under: Triticum dicoccoides
Lineage: Eukaryota; Viridiplantae; Streptophyta; Magnoliopsida; Poales; Poaceae
Description: tRNA tRNA-Lys
Rfam family: tRNA
About the family: Transfer RNA (tRNA) molecules are approximately 80 nucleotides in length. Their secondary structure includes four short double-helical elements and three loops (D, anti-codon, and T loops).
Source: RNAcentral
GCCGACCUAGCUCAGUGGUAGAGCGCGUGGCUUUUAACCACGUGGCCGUGGGUUCGAUCCCUACGGUCGGUG